RNAcentral lists this transfer RNA (70 nucleotides) under Anolis sagrei (brown anole). Its description in RNAcentral is "tRNA-Ala". The record is from RNAcentral. Lineage: Eukaryota; Metazoa; Chordata; Lepidosauria; Squamata; Anolidae.
UAAGACUUGUGAAAUAUUAAUUCACAUCUCUUGAAUGCAACUCAAAUACUUUUAUUAAGCUAAAGCCUUU